Molecule: ribosomal RNA, 465 nt
Filed under: uncultured bacterium
Lineage: Bacteria
Description: partial 16S ribosomal RNA
Rfam family: Bacterial small subunit ribosomal RNA
Source: RNAcentral
CCUACGGGGGACAGCAGUAGGGAAUUUUCGUCAAUGGGCGCGAGCCUGAACGAGCGAUGCCGCGUGAGUGAAGAAGGCCUUCGGGUCGGAAAGCUCUGUUUCGGGGGAAAAAAGGCAUCAUCAGGAAAUGGGUGCUGACUGAUGUUGCCCCACCAGAAAGGCACGGCUAACUCCGGGCCAGCAGCCGCGGUAAUACGUAGGUGGCGAGCGUUAUCCGGAUUGAUUGGGCGUAAAGGGUGCGCAGGCGGUCCUGCAAGUCUGGAGUGAAACGCAUGAGCUCAACCCAUGCAUGGCUUUGGAAACUGGAGGACUGGAGAGCAGGAGAGGGCGGUGGAAUGCCAUGUGUAGCGGUAAAAUGCGUAGAUAUAUGGAAGAACACCAGUGGCGAAGGCGGCAGCCUGGCCUGUUGCUGACGCUGAGGCACGAAAGCGUGGGGAGCAAAUAGGAUUAGAUACCCUUGUAGUC